Molecule: long non-coding RNA, 416 nt
Organism: Homo sapiens (human)
Lineage: Eukaryota; Metazoa; Chordata; Mammalia; Primates; Hominidae
Exons: 2
Source: RefSeq, a predicted model, not a curated record
CGAUUCUCCUGCCUCAGCCUCCUGAGUAGAUGGGAUUACAGGCUGGGAACUGCUUGAGGGAAGGGUCCAAGCCUUGUUCAUCUCUGAGCCCCCGUGUUAUCUCCUGAGCACCUGGGUCGUACACUAGCAUGGUCUCAAGAUACAUGUGCUGAACUGCUAAGCCAAUUCAUUUACUUUACAGAUGAAAAAUAAGAAAUAGACAGAAGCUUAAGAACACAGACACUGUACCCAGAAAGAUGGUAGCGGUGUCGGAAUGAGAAUCCAGCGUCUUGUGUCCCAGUUAAGGUCCUUUUCCCCUAGUAUGCUGCCUCUGGCUGUGGUAAAUUCCAGAAUAUAAUUUGUAAAUUUUCCUAUCCACUGUCCCAUCCCACUUCCUAAAGUCACAUGCAAAAUAAAGUGGCAGGUUAGAGUCUGAA